This 256-nucleotide ribosomal RNA is filed under the name uncultured bacterium. RNAcentral describes it as "partial 16S ribosomal RNA". It matches the Rfam family "Bacterial small subunit ribosomal RNA", at positions 524 to 777 of the family's 1533-position model. The record is from RNAcentral.
UACGUAGGGGACGAGCGUUGUCCGGAUUUACUGGGCGUAAAGCGUCCGUAGGCGGCUAGCUGCGUCGGGUGUGAAAGCUCCCCGCUCAACGGGGAGAGGUCAUCCGAUACGGGCUGGCUGGAGGGCAGUAGAGGGGGGACGGAAGUUCCCGGAGUAGUGGUGAUAUGCGUAGAGACCGGGAGGAACACCCGUGGCUAAGGCGGCUCUCUAGUACGGUACUGACGCUGAGACGCGAAAGCGUGGGGAGCGAACGAGG